AAAGAAAGCGUAAUAGCUCACUGGUCGAGUCGGCCUGCGCGGAAGAUGUAACGGGGCUAAACCAUGCACCGAAGCUGCGGCAGCGACGCUUAUGCGUUGUUGGGUAGGGGAGCGUUCUGUAAGCCUGCGAAGGUGUGCUGUGAGGCAUGCUGGAGGUAUCAGAAGUGCGAAUGCUGACAUAAGUAACGAUAAAGCGGGUGAAAAGCCCGCUCGCCGGAAGACCAAGGGUUCCUGUCCAACGUUAAUCGGGGCAGGGUGAGUCGACCCCUAAGGC
Molecule: ribosomal RNA, 274 nt
Filed under: Escherichia coli
Lineage: Bacteria; Pseudomonadati; Pseudomonadota; Gammaproteobacteria; Enterobacterales; Enterobacteriaceae
Description: partial 23S ribosomal RNA
Rfam family: Bacterial large subunit ribosomal RNA
Source: RNAcentral